UCUGGUCAUUUUUCUGGCCAAUUGGGGUCAUGUGCCCCUCACAUGCCUCCUUGAAAGGGCAAAGCAGUCUUCCCACAUUCAUCUUCUUCCUCUCACAGAAAAAGAAAAAAAAAUUAAACUAAGGGAAACGUUGGCUCCUAAUUGAGCUCACGACAGACCAAUGUUCCCCCAUCUCUCUCUCGACGGUGACGGCAAGGCUCAAUCUCAAAUUGAGCUCACGACUAAACCCUUGUGGGGCUUGAGAGUCCACGACUGUGCGGUCUAAGCAAAGCUGGUGCAAGGCCGUCCUCGUUGGCACCGGCGUCACCGUCCUCACCCUCCAACUCAGUAAACCGCGGACCCCUUCCUCCUCCUCUCUGCCCUCCACUGACUCCAGGCCUCCCACCCCAUCCUCCGUUCGAAGCUCCCGGACCCCUCUCUCCUCCUCUCCGCCCUCCACCGACAGUAGACCUCCCACCACAUCCUCCGUUCAAAGCACCACUUCGACGGACCCCUCCCUCCUCCAGACAAGGACACUGCCGGACAAGAACGGGGAGUCUUCCCUGCAGCUCUCCCAUCGUUGUGCUUCCUGAUGUCUUCGUCAAGCGGAAGUAUACUCUGACGAAGAUGAUAUUGGAAGACCAUUUUGCCCAUUCAAAGAGGCAUGUGAGGGGCACAUGACCUGAAUUGGCUGGAAAAAUGACCAGAAUUUCACUGAGUGGACACUCUGCAUAUUUUUUAAUGAGCUUGGGGGUAAAGCGUAAAAAUUUAAAGAUCAAGGAGUAGAGCUAACUUGCCCCUUAAGGUCAGGGGACAAACUGUUUUUUUCUCUUAAAUAUAAUUGUCAGCUAUCCUUACCAGGAAAAAUAUACAUUAUCAACAUUUUCAUUUUGUCAA
This is a non-coding RNA of Punica granatum (pomegranate), 876 nucleotides long. The record is from RefSeq and is a predicted model, not a curated record. NCBI's taxonomy places the organism in Eukaryota, Viridiplantae, Streptophyta, Magnoliopsida, Myrtales, Lythraceae.